This 72-nucleotide ribosomal RNA is filed under the name Pseudomonas sp. NFPP12. RNAcentral's name for it is "23S rRNA. Bacterial LSU". The record is from RNAcentral. Lineage: Bacteria; Pseudomonadati; Pseudomonadota; Gammaproteobacteria; Pseudomonadales; Pseudomonadaceae.
UGAUAGGUUGGGUGUGUAAGCGCUGUGAGGCGUUGAGCUAACCAAUACUAAUUGCCCGUGAGGCUUGACCAU